CUACGGGGGGCACCAGUGGGGAAUAUUGCACAAUGGGGGGAACCCUGAUGCAGCAACGCCGCGUGGAGGAUGAUACAUUUCGGUGCGUAAACUCCUUUUAUAUAAGAAGAUAAUGACGGUAUUAUAUGAAUAAGCACCGGCUAACUCCGUGCCAGCAGCCGCGGUAAUACGGGGGGUGCAAGCGUUACUCGGAAUCACUGGGCGUAAAGAGCAUGUAGGCUGGUUAGUAAGUUGGAAGUGAAAUCCUAUGGCUUAACCAUAGAACUGCUUCCAAAACUACUAACCUAGAAUAUGGGAGAGGUAGAUGGAAUUUCUGGUGUAGGGGUAAAAUCCGUAGAGAUCAGAAGGAAUACCGAUUGCGAAGGCGAUCUACUGGAACAUUAUUGACGCUCAGAUGCGAAAGCGUGGGGAGCAAACAGGAUUAGAUACCCUCGUAGUC
This 439-nucleotide ribosomal RNA is filed under the name uncultured bacterium. Its description in RNAcentral is "partial 16S ribosomal RNA". It matches the Rfam family "Bacterial small subunit ribosomal RNA", at positions 339 to 795 of the family's 1533-position model. The record is from RNAcentral.